UACGAAGGGGGCUAGCGUUGUUCGGAAUUACUGGGCGUAAAGCGCACGUAGGCGGCUUGUUAAGUCAGGGGUGAAAUCCUGGAGCUCAACUCCAGAACUGCCUUUGAUACUGGCAACCUUGAGUCCGGGAGAGGUGAGUGGAACUGCGAGUGUAGAGGUGAAAUUCGUAGAUAUUCGCAAGAACACCAGUGGCGAAGGCGGCUCACUGGCCCGGUACUGACGCUGAGGUGCGAAAGCGUGGGGAGCAAACAGG
Molecule: ribosomal RNA, 253 nt
Filed under: uncultured bacterium
Lineage: Bacteria
Description: partial 16S ribosomal RNA
Rfam family: Bacterial small subunit ribosomal RNA
Source: RNAcentral